Molecule: ribosomal RNA, 512 nt
Filed under: uncultured microorganism
Description: bacterial SSU rRNA
Rfam family: Bacterial small subunit ribosomal RNA
Source: RNAcentral
GAGUUUGAUCAUGGCUCAGAUUGAACGCUGGCGGCAGGCCUAACACAUGCAAGUCGAGCGGAUGAAGGGAGCUUGCUCCUGGAUUCAGCGGCGGACGGGUGAGUAAUGCCUAGGAAUCUGCCUGGUAGUGGGGGAUAACGUCCGGAAACGGGCGCUAAUACCGCAUACGUCCUGAGGGAGAAAGUGGGGAUCUUCGGACCUCACGCUAUCAGAUGAGCCUAGGUCGGAUUAGCUAGUUGGUGGGGUAAAGGCCUACCAAGGCGACGAUCCGUAACUGGUCUGAGAGGAUGAUCAGUCACACUGGAACUGAGACACGGUCCAGACUCCUACGGGAGGCAGCAGUGGGGAAUAUUGGACAAUGGGCGAAAGCCUGAUCCAGCCAUGCCGCGUGUGUGAAGAAGGUCUUCGGAUUGUAAAGCACUUUAAGUUGGGAGGAAGGGCAGUAAGCUAAUACCUUGCUGUUUUGACGUUACCAACAGAAUAAGCACCGGCUAACUUCGUGCCAGCCGCCG